UACGUAGGGUCCGAGCGUUGUCCGGAAUUAUUGGGCGUAAAGGGCUCGUAGGCGGUUUGUCGCGUCGGGAGUGAAAACACGGGGCUUAACCCCGUGCCUGCUUCCGAUACGGGCAGACUAGAGGUAUGCAGGGGAGAACGGAAUUCCUGGUGUAGCGGUGAAAUGCGCAGAUAUCAGGAGGAACACCGGUGGCGAAGGCGGUUCUCUGGGCAUUACCUGACGCUGAGGCGCGAAAGCGUGGGUAGCAAACAGG
RNAcentral lists this ribosomal RNA (253 nucleotides) under uncultured bacterium. RNAcentral describes it as "partial 16S ribosomal RNA". It matches the Rfam family "Bacterial small subunit ribosomal RNA", at positions 524 to 776 of the family's 1533-position model. The record is from RNAcentral.